GCUUCUUUUUCCACCGGAGCUUGCUCCACCGGAAAAAGAGGAGUGGCGAACGGGUGAGUAACACGUGGGUAACCUGCCCAUCAGAAGGGGAUAACACUUGGAAACAGGUGCUAAUACCGUAUAACAAUCGAAACCGCAUGGUUUUGAUUUGAAAGGCGCUUUCGGGUGUCGCUGAUGGAUGGACCCGCGGUGCAUUAGCUAGUUGGUGAGGUAACGGCUCACCAAGGCGACGAUGCAUAGCCGACCUGAGAGGGUGAUCGGCCACAUUGGGACUGAGACACGGCCCAAACUCCUACGGGAGGCAGCAGUAGGGAAUCUUCGGCAAUGGACGAAAGUCUGACCGAGCAACGCCGCGUGAGUGAAGAAGGUUUUCGGAUCGUAAAACUCUGUUGUUAGAGAAGAACAAGGAUGAGAGUAACUGUUCAUCCCUUGACGGUAUCUAACCAGAAAGCCACGGCUAACUACGUGCCAGCAGCCGCGGUAAUACGUAGGUGGCAAGCGUUGUCCGGAUUUAUUGGGCGUAAAGCGAGCGCAGGCGGUUUCUUAAGUCUGAUGUGAAAGCCCCCGGCUCAACCGGGGAGGGUCAUUGGAAACUGGGAGACUUGAGUGCAGAAGAGGAGAGUGGAAUUCCAUGUGUAGCGGUGAAAUGCGUAGAUAUAUGGAGGAACACCAGUGGCGAAGGCGGCUCUCUGGUCUGUAACUGACGCUGAGGCUCGAAAGCGUGGGGAGCAAACAGGAUUAGAUACCCUGGUAGUCCACGCCGUAAACGAUGAGUGCUAAGUGUUGGAGGGUUUCCGCCCUUCAGUGCUGCAGCUAACGCAUUUAAGCACUCUCGCCUGGGGAGUACGACCGCAAGGUUGAAACUCAAAGGAAUUGACGGGGGCCCGCACAAGCGGUGGAGCAUGUGGUUUAAUUCGAAGCAACGCGAAGAACCUUACCAGGUCUUGACAUCCUUUGACCACUCUAGAGAUAGAGCUUCCCCUUCGGGGGCAAAGUGACAGGUGGUGCAUGGUUGUCGUCAGCUCGUGUCGUGAGAUGUUGGGUUAAGUCCCGCAACGAGCGCAACCCUUAUUGUUAGUUGCCAUCAUUUAGUUGGGCACUCUAGCAAGACUGCCGGUGACAAACCGGAGGAAGGUGGGGAUGACGUCAAAUCAUCAUGCCCCUUAUGACCUGGGCUACACACGUGCUACAAUGGGAAGUACAACGAGUCGCAAAGUCGCGAGGCUAAGCUAAUCUCUUAAAGCUUCUCUCAGUUCGGAUUGUAGGCUGCAACUCGCCUACAUGAAGCCGGAAUCGCUAGUAAUCGCGGAUCAGCACGCCGCGGUGAAUACGUUCCCGGGCCUUGUACACACCGCCCGUCACACCACGAGAGUUUGUAACACCCGAAGUCGGUGAGGUAACCUUUUGGAGCCAGCCGCC
RNAcentral lists this ribosomal RNA (1419 nucleotides) under Enterococcus hirae. RNAcentral's name for it is "bacterial SSU rRNA". It matches the Rfam family "Bacterial small subunit ribosomal RNA". The record is from RNAcentral. Lineage: Bacteria; Bacillati; Bacillota; Bacilli; Lactobacillales; Enterococcaceae. RNAcentral also lists the same sequence under 1 other name.